RNAcentral lists this ribosomal RNA (497 nucleotides) under uncultured bacterium. Its description in RNAcentral is "partial 16S ribosomal RNA". It matches the Rfam family "Bacterial small subunit ribosomal RNA", at positions 28 to 507 of the family's 1533-position model. The record is from RNAcentral.
GACGAACGCUGGCGGCGUGCCUAAUACAUGCCAGUUGAGCGCUGAAGGUUGGUACUUGUACCGACUGGAUGAGCAGCGAACGGGUGAGUAACGCGUGGGGAAUCUGCCUUUGAGCGGGGGACAACAUUUGGAAACGAAUGCUAAUACCGCAUAAAAACUUUAAACACAAGUUUUAAGUUUGAAAGAUGCAAUUGCAUCACUCAAAGAUGAUCCCGCGUUGUAUUAGCUAGUUGGUGAGGUAAAGGCCCACCAAGGCGAUGAUACAUAGCCGACCUGAGAGGGUGAUCGGCCACAGUGGGACUGAGACACGGCCCAAACUCCUACGGGAGGCAGCAGUAGGGAAUCUUCGGCAAUGGACGAAAGUCUGACCGAGCGACGCCGCGUGAGUGAAGAAGGUUUUCGGAUCGUAAAACUCUGUUGGUAGAGAAGAACGUUGGUGAGAGUGGAAAGCUCAUCAAGUGACGGUAACUACCCAGAAAGGGACGGCUAACUACGUG